GGAAAAUAGCUCAGGGCUCCCACUGAUUCUACAUUAUGGACACAUAGCAACAAGGUGCUAUAUUUGAAGCAGAGAGAGCCAGCCCUCACCAGACAUGAAAUCUGCCAGCACCUGGAUUUUGAAAUUCCCAGCCUCCAGAAUUGUGAGAAGUAAUUUUCUGUUAUUUAUAAAUUACCCAGUCUAAGAUAUGUGACUUGUGCCUUCUGACACCAGAUCAUCAAAGGCACUGCUGCUUCCUCCUUGUUAACUUUUUCUGAGAUCACUUGCUUUGAGGCAAGCCGGAUGCCAUGUUGUAAGGACAUUCAAGGAGCCAGUGGAGAUGCCCAUGUGGUGAGAAAUGGAAGCCCCCUGCCACCUGCAAGGACUUGAGGCCUUCUGCAAACAGCCGUGUACGUGAGCCAUGUGGAAGUGGCUAGAUCUGGACUCAGACAAGCUUUCAAAUGCCUGCAGCCCCUGCCAACAUCCUGAAUGCUCCCCCUAGGAAACCCUGAAUCAGAACCACUCAGCCAAGCUGCUCCAAAAUUCCUGUCCCACAGAAAUUGUGAGAUAAUGAAUGUUUGUUGUUUUAAGUCACUAAGGUUUGGGGAUAAUUUUUUUAUGUACCAAUAAAUAAACAAUACAUUUACCUAUAA
This is a long non-coding RNA of Sapajus apella (tufted capuchin), 632 nucleotides long. RefSeq lists it as uncharacterized. NCBI's taxonomy places the organism in Eukaryota, Metazoa, Chordata, Mammalia, Primates, Cebidae. The transcript has 2 exons. The record is from RefSeq and is a predicted model, not a curated record.